Molecule: ribosomal RNA, 800 nt
Filed under: uncultured bacterium
Lineage: Bacteria
Description: bacterial SSU rRNA
Rfam family: Bacterial small subunit ribosomal RNA
Source: RNAcentral
AGAGUUUGAUCCUGGCUCAGAUUGAACGCUGGCGGCAUGCCUUACACAUGCAAGUCGAACGGCAGCACGGGGGCAACCCUGGUGGCGAGUGGCGAACGGGUGAGUAACAUAUCGGAACAUACCCUAGAGUGGGGGAUAACGUAGCGAAAGUUACGCUAAUACCGCAUACGAUCUAAGGAUGAAAGUGGGGGAUCUUCGGGCCUCAUGCUCAUGGAGUGGCCGAUAUCUGAUUAGCUAGUUGGUGAGGUAAAGGCUCACCAAGGCGACGAUCAGUAGCUGGUUUGAGAGAACGACCAGCCACACUGGAACUGAGACACGGUCCAGACUCCUACGGGAGGCAGCAGUGGGGAAUUUUGGACAAUGGGGGCAACCCUGAUCCAGCAAUGCCGCGUGAGUGAAGAAGGCCUUCGGGUUGUAAAGCUCUUUUGUCAGGGAAGAAACGGUGAGUUCUAAUACAGCUUGCUAAUGACGGUACCUGAAGAAUAAGCACCGGCUAACUACGUGCCAGCAGCCGCGGUAAUACGUAGGGUGCAAGCGUUAAUCGGAAUUACUGGGCGUAAAGCGUGCGCAGGCGGUUAUAUAAGUCAGAUGUGAAAUCCCUGGGCUCAACCUAGGAACUGCAUUUGAGACUGUAUGGCUAGAGUGUGUCAGAGGGGGGUAGAAUUCCACGUGUAGCAGUGAAAUGCGUAGAGAUGUGGAGGAAUACCGAUGGCGAAGGCAGCCCCCUGGGAUAACACUGACGCUCAUGCACGAAAGCGUGGGGAGCAAACAGGAUUAGAUACCCUGGUAGUCCACGCCCU